Lytechinus pictus (painted urchin) is the source of this 1025-nucleotide long non-coding RNA. RefSeq lists it as uncharacterized. The record is from RefSeq and is a predicted model, not a curated record. The transcript is spliced from 2 exons. NCBI's taxonomy places the organism in Eukaryota, Metazoa, Echinodermata, Echinoidea, Temnopleuroida, Toxopneustidae.
AGAGUCAACUUUCCCUGGCUCCCACCAUCGUAUAUAUAAGGCCCGUCGUCGUGGCGUGACUGAGCGCAAGAACUCACUCAACUGUGAUACGCCCACAGGGGAUGGUGAUAUGCCUGUUGCCUUGGAGACAGACAUAAAUCAAUCAAUAGAAGCUGAAGGAAGGUUUGCAGCAUUUCAUCAGUGUGGUGGAAAGUGAUAAGCAUUCAAACCAGGAGCACAAACUACACAUGGAGCCAUAUACUGAAGACAAAUGUCUAGAUUCACUUUAAAAAAAUAAUUCGUCAUAAAAUCCAUUUGGGUUUAUAGAUGUAAUGAAUUUUCAAUAUUAAGUCCCUUUCAUCUAGAGCCUGUUGUACAGGUAGUUCCAAGUCAUUUCCAAGAAAAAAAAAUGAAUUUGACCUGUGCUCUCGUCUUCAUUUUGCAAGUUAAAACAGCAAACUGCAUGUUAAACAAUAGACUGGAAUGCUUUUGUUUAUGCCUUGCUUACUUCACUAAAUGCAAUGCAAAUUACAAAACAAAAUAAUAAUAAAUGGUGGGAUCUUAGAUUGUAAGGAGUUAUUGUGUCCUCCAUGACAUGCCAAGAAUGGAUGUGUUAAUCAUCGCAAAUUCCUCAAUUAAACCUCAAAUGCCCCCUCUCACUCUUUGUUAUUACCAAGUGAAUUGAAUUAUCUUGUUAUCUCUCAUUCAAAUGUUUGUUCAUUAUAACAACAAGAACUCGUAUCAAAAGGGAAAAUAGUGCUAUAGAGAUAAUGUGAAUCAUCAUUAUCAUUUACACAUAAAAAUAAACAUUUAUGAUAUCAAUGUCAUAAAAAUACCAAGAUUGCAGUUUCAGAUUUAUUUUAUUGUUCCAUAUUAUAAACGUAGAAAUUAGUACUCCACUGGCAGUACAUACACAAUAAUAUAGUUUAUAAAUAAACACUAAAGAUACAAAUAAUUUGGGUGAAUAUUCAAACGUUGAAAGAAAUAUGAAUAAACAUGUAUUGAAAAAUGAAUUACCCAUUAAAGACAGCAGACAGAAAGUGAAA